GCGUCUGCCUCAGCCACCGUGGUGGGUGACGAAACUCGCGCAUGCUACAGAUAACAUUUCGCGGCACCUUGCGCCAGUCCCAGUUAUAUAUCGUGCGUGUCGAACGGAAGCGAGCGAAAAAAGCAUGACCGCGAACAAGAAAGGAAGCGCGUGCGCAUAGCGUGAGUCUUGGAGCAGCAACGUGCGUGAGAAGGCGCAGCCAGUCUUUUCGGCAGGCGCUCCCGUGCCCCGCAAACUUUUGCUCCCGACUGUACGUCGGCCGAUGCUCGUGUCGGUGCACAUCUCAAUCUCAACUAAACAUCGAGCGCCGAUUGUGGCUGACUCCAUGCAUAUGAGACAUCACUGCAAAAGAUGCCAGAAAAAGUUUACAUCAUUGGACACGUUCUUCAAGCACACAUUAUAUCAUGAAACAUCAUCAAGAGGUGUUCCAUGCAGCGUUGUCGGCUGUGAGGCUGCAUUCAAAAAUUACAACUCAUUGCGAAGCCACAUCACAAGGUGUCAUUCUCCGCUUGCACCUCGUAAUGCAACUAACUUCCAAUCCUGCCGGACAUGCAGUGUUAGUUCCUGCAGUGAAGAGGCUUACAGGUGUCUGUCUGGACGGAACAUUGAGCCUGCCCAAAGAUGUCCUCCUCCUCGUGACAUUCCUAUGUUCAAGCCCCAAAAAUGAUGCUGUGCUCGAGUGGAGCCUCAAAAUCAACAAGGCCGAGGCAGAGUUCAAAGAUCAAAACGCAGCAGCUGUCUGCCUCCUCCCAUUGCUUGCAUCCUACUUUCAAGAAAACCUCGGAGAGCUC
Ixodes scapularis (black-legged tick) is the source of this 791-nucleotide long non-coding RNA. RefSeq lists it as uncharacterized. Lineage: Eukaryota; Metazoa; Arthropoda; Arachnida; Ixodida; Ixodidae. The record is from RefSeq and is a predicted model, not a curated record. The transcript is spliced from 3 exons.